AGGCUUGGAUUGGACUCGACAGUUGGCGAGCUUCGCUGGCUUGUGAAGCUCUACCGGCCCUCCCUCCUCUUUCUUUCAGAGACGAAGAUGAGGGAUGUGAGAGUAAAGAACUUUAUGUGGUCUCUGGGUUUUUCUGGUUGUUAUGAUGUCAGUAGUGAGGGUCUCAGUGGUGGCCUUGCUCUUUUUUGGACGUCUUCUUCUGUUAAGGCGGCCAACAAGCGGUGCAUUGAUGUUCAUGUUAAAUUAGGGGUCGGUAUGACUUGGCGUGCUUCGUUUGUCUAUGGAGAGCCAAGGAGGGAGGACAGACCACAUUUCUGGGAAUUUCUUCGUCGUAUGCGUUCUUCCUGGAAUGGUCCUUGGGUUUGCUGUGGCGACUUCAAUGAGGUUCUCUCUCAAGAUGAGCAUUGUGGGCCGAGAGACCGUUCUGAUUCUCAAAUUGAUGCUUUUCGGGAUUGUAUGAUGGAUUGUGGCCUGGCUGACCUGGGUUUCACAGGACCAGAGUUCACCAGGUGUAACAAGCAAGACCCAAAUAGUCAUGUCAGGUGUCGUUUGGACCGAGCCAUUGCUAACUCUGCUUUCUCAAAUCUGUUUGAAGCAUGCUGUGUGGAGAAUAUUAUAGCUACUACCUCGGAUCACUACCCUAUCCUUAUCUCUCUGGACCGGGGUUCGCAGAUUCGACAUCCAACUCCUGUGCAGUAA
Molecule: ribosomal RNA, 699 nt
Filed under: Triticum aestivum (bread wheat)
Lineage: Eukaryota; Viridiplantae; Streptophyta; Magnoliopsida; Poales; Poaceae
Description: partial small subunit ribosomal RNA
Source: RNAcentral